AUGCUCAUUUCAGCAGCACAUAUAUUUCAAUGGAAAAGAUAAAGAGAAGGUUAUACCCCUGUUCAAGCAUGACAUACACAUUCUGGAAGCAUUUCAGAUUUUU
Molecule: small nuclear RNA, 103 nt
Organism: Apodemus sylvaticus (European woodmouse)
Lineage: Eukaryota; Metazoa; Chordata; Mammalia; Rodentia; Muridae
Source: RefSeq, a predicted model, not a curated record